GGAGGAGGCAAGCGUUGUCCGGAAUCAUUGGGCGUAAAGAGCGCGUAGGCUGUUUUUCAAGUCAUAUGUGAAAACCUCAGGCUUAACUUGAGGACUGCAUAUGAAACUGGGAAACUUGAGUGCAGUAGGGGAAAGUGGAAUUCCUGGUGUAGCGGUGAAAUGCGCAGAUAUCAGGAAGAACACCGGUAGCGAAGGCGGCUUUCUGGGCUGCUACUGACGCUGAGGCGCGAAAGCUAGGGGGGGAGCAAACAGGAUUAGAUACCCUGGUAGUCCUAGCUGUAAACGAUGGACACUAGGUGUGGGAAGUUAUCGACGCUUUCCGUGCCGGAGCUAACGCAUUAAGUGUCCCCGCCUGGGAGUACGGUCGCAAGCUA
This 374-nucleotide ribosomal RNA is filed under the name uncultured organism. Its description in RNAcentral is "partial 16S ribosomal RNA". It matches the Rfam family "Bacterial small subunit ribosomal RNA", at positions 527 to 896 of the family's 1533-position model. The record is from RNAcentral.